UGCGUAGGUGGUGGCUUAAGUCCGUUGUGAAAGCCCUGGGCUCAACCUGGGAAUUGCAGUGGAUACUGGGUCACUAGAGUGUGGUAGAGGGUGGCGGAAUUCCCGGUGUAGCAGUGAAAUGCGUAGAGAUCGGGAGGAACACCCGUGGCGAAGGCGGCCACCUGGGCCAACACUGACACUGAGGCACGAAAGCGUGGGGAGCAAACAGGAUUAGAUACCCGCGUA
This 225-nucleotide ribosomal RNA is filed under the name uncultured Pseudoxanthomonas sp. RNAcentral's name for it is "partial 16S ribosomal RNA". It matches the Rfam family "Bacterial small subunit ribosomal RNA", at positions 568 to 792 of the family's 1533-position model. The record is from RNAcentral. Lineage: Bacteria; Pseudomonadati; Pseudomonadota; Gammaproteobacteria; Lysobacterales; Lysobacteraceae.